UUUAAACAAAUUUUUAUCUAUAAUUAAAAAAAUAAAUUUUGAAAAAAACCUUCCAUAUAAAUGU
RNAcentral lists this transfer RNA (64 nucleotides) under Bombus terrestris (buff-tailed bumblebee). RNAcentral describes it as "tRNA-Lys". The record is from RNAcentral. Lineage: Eukaryota; Metazoa; Arthropoda; Insecta; Hymenoptera; Apidae.